This 497-nucleotide ribosomal RNA is filed under the name uncultured Glomus. Its description in RNAcentral is "SSU rRNA". It matches the Rfam family "Eukaryotic small subunit ribosomal RNA", at positions 591 to 1092 of the family's 1831-position model. The record is from RNAcentral. Lineage: Eukaryota; Fungi; Glomeromycota; Glomeromycetes; Glomerales; Glomeraceae.
CCAAUAGCGUAUAUUAAAGUUGUUGCAGUUAAAAAGCUCGUAGUUGAAUUUCGGGGUCAGUAGGUUGGUCGUGCCACCGGUACGUACUGGUCUCACUGAUUCCUCCUUCCUGAAGAACCGUAAUGCCAUUAAUUUGGUGUUGCGGGGAAACAGGACUGUUACUUUGAAAAAAUUAGAGUGUUUAAAGCAGGCUAACGCUUGAAUACAUUAGCAUGGAAUAAUGAAAUAGGACGAUCGAUCCUAUUUUGUUGGUUUCUAGGAUUGACGUAAUGAUUAAUAGGGAUAGUUGGGGGCAUUAGUAUUCAAUUGUCAGAGGUGAAAUUCUUGGAUUUAUUGAAGACUAACUACUGCGAAAGCAUUUGCCAAGGAUGUUUUCAUUAAUCAAGAACGAAAGUUGGGGGCUCGAAGACGAUCAGAUACCGUCCUAGUCUCAACCAUAAACGAUGCCGACCAGGGAUCGGCGGAUGUUGCUUUUAGGACUCCGCCGGCACCUUAUG